Molecule: long non-coding RNA, 445 nt
Filed under: Lotus japonicus
Lineage: Eukaryota; Viridiplantae; Streptophyta; Magnoliopsida; Fabales; Fabaceae
Description: long non-coding RNA (LJAP_LNC000786)
Source: RNAcentral
CAAUGUUUGAUUUAUCACGACCCCGAAUGAUAGUUCAAGUGGUAGGAGCUAGAGUUUGGUGAGGGAGGUCCAGGGAUCAAUCCUUGAAUGAUGCAAUUUUUGUUCUCUAGAUUUAUAUCCCAUUGGAUUUUUCCUAUGAAGGUUUUAAUGAGACUCGGUCUCUAAAUUUGUCAUGCCAAGGGAAGGGGUAAGGCUCUUUAACCUAGAUUUGGCCUAUCGUGUUACCUCUUUGUCUAUAAAUAAAAUUCUAUCUUUUGUCAAAAUAAAAAAACAUAGUUAUCUUAUAUACUAGGAUUGUACCCCUAUGCACGGAGAAACGAUUCUAUAAUUUGUUUAUAUCCCACUGCAUUUUUCCUAUGAAGGUUUUAAUGAGGCUCGGUCUCUAAAUUUGCCCUGCCAAGGGAAGGGGUAAGGCUCUUUAACCUGGAUUUGGCCUAUCGUGUUA